RNAcentral lists this unclassified non-coding RNA (253 nucleotides) under uncultured Flavobacteriaceae bacterium. RNAcentral describes it as "contains 16S-23S intergenic spacer region". It matches the Rfam family "Bacterial small subunit ribosomal RNA", at positions 524 to 776 of the family's 1533-position model. Lineage: Bacteria; Pseudomonadati; Bacteroidota; Flavobacteriia; Flavobacteriales; Flavobacteriaceae. The record is from RNAcentral.
UACGGAGGGUGCAAGCGUUAUCCGGAAUCAUUGGGUUUAAAGGGUCCGUAGGUGGGGCGCUAAGUCAGAGGUGAAAUCCCACGGCUCAACCGUGGCACUGCCUUUGAUACUGGCGUCCUUGAGUCAUUGUGAAGCGGUUAGAAUAUGUGGUGUAGCGGUGAAAUGCAUAGAUAUCACAUAGAACACCGAUUGCGAAGGCAGAUCGCUAACGAUGCACUGACACUGAUGGACGAAAGCGUGGGGAGCGAACGGG